CGCGUAGGUGGUUGUAUAAGUUAGAUGUGAAAUCCCUGGGCUUAACCUAGGAACUGCAUCUAGAACUGUAUGACUAGAGUAUUGUAGAGGGUAGUGGAAUUUCCGGUGUAACGGUGAAAUGCGUAGAGAUCGGAAGGAACACCAGUGGCGAAGGCGGGCUACCUGGACAAAUACUGACACUGAGGCGCGAAAGCGUGGGGAGCAAACA
Molecule: ribosomal RNA, 208 nt
Filed under: uncultured bacterium
Lineage: Bacteria
Description: partial 16S ribosomal RNA
Rfam family: Bacterial small subunit ribosomal RNA
Source: RNAcentral